GGGCAAGUAGCUCAGCCGGUUAGAGCGCCACGUUGACAUCGUGGAGGUCGGAGGUUCAAGUCCUCUCUUGCCCACCA
This 77-nucleotide transfer RNA is filed under the name Chloroflexota bacterium. RNAcentral's name for it is "Chloroflexi bacterium tRNA-Val". It matches the Rfam family "tRNA". Rfam says of the family: Transfer RNA (tRNA) molecules are approximately 80 nucleotides in length. Lineage: Bacteria; Bacillati; Chloroflexota. The record is from RNAcentral.